This 30-nucleotide non-coding RNA is filed under the name Mus musculus (house mouse). Lineage: Eukaryota; Metazoa; Chordata; Mammalia; Rodentia; Muridae. The record is from RNAcentral.
AUCUUCCAUAAGUUGCCUUGGAUCACGGUG